This 1999-nucleotide long non-coding RNA is filed under the name Daucus carota (carrot). RNAcentral describes it as "long non-coding RNA (DCAR_LNC003698)". Lineage: Eukaryota; Viridiplantae; Streptophyta; Magnoliopsida; Apiales; Apiaceae. The record is from RNAcentral.
AACUAAUUUGCAAUAAAAAAAAUUUAAAAAUUAUCCAAAUCGGGAUGAAGGGAGGUUUAGCCAAGAAACACAUUAAGAAAACACAAAAUUUUCCAACAAAUAUCUCUUCAUUGUUCACCAAAUCUCAGGAAAUGUAUGGCCAUUAAUUGACUGACCAUAGACCAUCUCUCAAGCAAGAUCAGAAAAAUGCUAAUGCGUGAAUAACACCGAAAGAAAAGGGCUAAUAUUCAAACCAAAAUCUCGGGACCGCACACUUUUUUUCCUUGGUGACUGCAAAUGCGGUCAGUGGUCACUGAUACGACUAUAUAUCACUACUCCAAUAAACACACAACAACAAUGUGUGUGUCCAUAGUCCAUACAUGAGGUGAGUAAACAAGGAAGAUAUGGUUAGGUGGUGCGGUCAGUCUGACCCUGCUGCAGCUUAUCUAACAACAGAGACACUAUUGCUUUUCAAGUCCAAAUAAAUUUACCAUUACACUUUCACACAAUCUAUGAUCUAUCACUCUUUACAUUCAUUACUCCCUUGUGCCCACAUCCACAUUUCAACCUAGCCUCCUCUGCUCUCCAUAUCUAUCCCCCUAUCUGCAUUAAUUGCUCAAACUCUUUCUCCCAGUACUUCAUCUUUUUCCAAGUUUAGAGUCUAAAAUCUUGUCAGAUCACUGUCACACAAACCUAUACACAACCAUACUUUGAGCUCAUUUAACUCAGGACUAUUAAGGCCUUGUUUGGCAACUAGUUUUACAGUAGUUUAAGGCAAAACAGAUCUGAAAUCUCGAAUCCUAUGCAAAGACAUUAAACACCCAGGCAGUUAAAAUAGUUUAAACAGGAGUUCACGUGUAAUAAAGAAAAGCAAUGGAACAGCAAUAAUGGAAGAAAAAUAGUUAUUGUGUGAUAGGACACUUCCAUGAAAGAUAGCCAGUUUGUCACCGAUCCAUCAGUACAGAGACCUCCUCAUACUUGUCAUUUCUUGACCUGUCUUUUCCCACCCCUCCCAAUGUACACAUACAACCAUACAUAGUGCAGUCAAGUGCCCAUCUCUAGGCAAGCCCAGAGUCAGACCCAGACUCACUGUUCAUCAACAUUCAAAUCUCAUUAUCAAAUAAUAACACUCAAGAGACUCGAGAGUUCGACCUUGUCAAAAACACGGAACAGGCAAAUAAGAUUACGAAAAGGUUGAGGCUUUAACUUGAUAAUAAUGUUAGAAUUCAUGUCAAAAGAACCCAACCAACCUGUUAAUGUUGAUAAAGAACAUUUGCAUAUAAUACAAUCUAUGAAGCAAAACCAGAGACAUAGUGUAUACAAAAUGUUAAAAAAAGACCAGAUUGAGCCGUCCCGCCAAUAUCACUCCACGACCACAGAGACAAUAUUCAAAGGAAGGUUUGAAGCUUCUGUUUCUGCAAUGACUUCACUAGAAAGCACGAGUUUCUAGAACAUUCUUCACAGAAGCUAAAAGAGAUGCUCCAUUUCUUCACAAGAAGUAAUGUUAAAUCACUCAUCUUGUUCUGCAUCUGCACCAAGCAAAACAAGCCCAGAGCCCAAAGCUUGAGAAGCAAAAGUGGAGUUUCUACAAGUACCAUUCUUUUGACUACAAGACAGCUAAAAAGAAACAUUGGUGGAGCUUUUCUUUUUCAUCAAAAUAAUCAAGAAAACAGAGGGGGAGAAGAAGCUUUUUUAUAUGGAAAUGAGAGUUUGAGCUUUCAAAAGGGAUUUCAAGGUAUUCUUGUCCUAUCUUGAAAACUACAAAAAAGAAAAAGCAAAGAUGAGAAUUUGCAAUUGGGGUUUAAAAUAGAGUUAAUUACAGUUUGUAACCCCUAGGAUUGCUCCAAACGCACUUAAGAUCCUGAACUAUCAAACGUUACAUAAUGCACCCUGAACUUUACAUUCCCGUGCAAGUUGUAACCCAUAGUCACUAUUCCGUCCAAAUAUGCCGUUAACUUUAACUGUUUGAGAGGUAACAGUGUGUAUAGUAGUUUCUAACAGCUACUUUACCCCCUGUGAC